RNAcentral lists this ribosomal RNA (381 nucleotides) under uncultured bacterium. RNAcentral describes it as "bacterial SSU rRNA". It matches the Rfam family "Bacterial small subunit ribosomal RNA", at positions 36 to 410 of the family's 1533-position model. The record is from RNAcentral.
UUNCGGCCUGGCGGAUGCUUACACAUGCAAGUCGAACGGCAGCACGGAGAGCUUGCUCUCUGGUGGCGAGUGGCGAACGGGUGAGUAAUAUAUCGGAACGUGUCCAAUAAUGGGGGAUAACGAGUCGAAAGAUUCGCUAAUACCGCAUACGCCCUACGGGGGAAAGCAGGGGAUCGUAAGACCUUGCGUUAAUGGAGCGGCCGAUAUCUGAUUAGCUUGUUGGUGAGGUAAAGGCUCACCAAGGCGACGAUCAGUAGCUGGUUUGAGAGAACGACCAGCCACACUGGAACUGAGACACGGUCCAGACUCCUACGGGAGGCAGCAGUGGGGAAUUUUGGACAAUGGGGGCAACCCUGAUCCAGCCUUUCCGCGUGAGUGAAC